GAUAACAACAUUUGAUUAAUCGAAUUUUCCGCCAUUUCUUCAUUUAGCCUAACCUUCUUUUGUCCUUUCUGCGUAUUCAAAUAAAGUGAGAUAUUUUUAGUUAGCUUCUAUGUAGUUGUGUAUUCGAUCUUGUCCUUUGGGGUCUUUUCUUAAGGCGUAUUGUGGCUGUUCUCGAUCUUCUCACUGGCCGGUCACUUUGGCACGUACUCCCACAUGUCCAUCCAAGCAAGAACAUACUGUAAACACUCGGUCUUUUAAAUCAGCACUCAAGCAUCU
Molecule: long non-coding RNA, 276 nt
Filed under: Elaeis guineensis (African oil palm)
Lineage: Eukaryota; Viridiplantae; Streptophyta; Magnoliopsida; Arecales; Arecaceae
Description: long non-coding RNA (EGUI_LNC022774)
Source: RNAcentral